UACGUAGGGGGCAAGCGUUGUCCGGAUUUAUUGGGCGUAAAGCGCUCGCAGGUGGUCCGAUGCGUCGUGCGUGAAAGACCCUGGCUCAACUAGGGAGGUCACGCGAUACUGAUCGACUGGAAGGCAGGAGAGGGUAGUGGAAUUCCCGGUGUAGUGGUGAAAUGCGUAGAUAUCGGGAGGAACACCAGUGGCGAAGGCGACUACCUGGCCUGUUCUUGACGCUGAGGCGCGAAAGCUAGGGGAGCAAACGGGG
This 253-nucleotide ribosomal RNA is filed under the name uncultured bacterium. Its description in RNAcentral is "partial 16S ribosomal RNA". It matches the Rfam family "Bacterial small subunit ribosomal RNA", at positions 524 to 777 of the family's 1533-position model. The record is from RNAcentral.